This 322-nucleotide unclassified non-coding RNA is filed under the name Hevea brasiliensis (rubber tree). Lineage: Eukaryota; Viridiplantae; Streptophyta; Magnoliopsida; Malpighiales; Euphorbiaceae. The record is from RNAcentral.
CCAGCAUUACAAAGUACCCCUUUGGGAGUAGGUCUAUCAGCAGCCAUUGCUAAAUCUAAAGAAAACAGCUGCAAAGAUAUCAAAGACUCGAACUUGAUUCUUAGGGUCCUCUCUUGAGAGGGCGAUCACACAAAACCACAGUCGCAUGGCCAGUGGGUAUAACUCCAAACAAGCAAAUUCAACAACCCAAAUUCAAGAUUGAAUUGCCCCCAAACAGUUUUUUCUUUGAUUCACACAACUAAAGGGGCAAUUCAAGAUUCGAUUUUUUUGAAAAGGGGUUAGUUCGAUCAGAUCAAGAAUCGAAAAAAAUCGUCAAUUCGGG